Molecule: ribosomal RNA, 600 nt
Rfam family: Bacterial small subunit ribosomal RNA
CAUGCGGCAGCUACACAUGCAAGUCGAGCGGUAACAGGGGUAGCUUGCUACCCGCUGACGAGCGGCGGACGGGUGAGUAAUGCAUAGGAAUCUGCCCGAUAGUGGGGGAUAACCUGGGGAAACCCAGGCUAAUACCGCAUACGUCCUACGGGAGAAAGGGGGCUCCGGCUCCCGCUAUUGGAUGAGCCUAUGUCGGAUUAGCUAGUUGGUGAGGUAAUGGCUCACCAAGGCAACGAUCCGUAGCUGGUCUGAGAGGAUGAUCAGCCACAUCGGGACUGAGACACGGCCCGAACUCCUACGGGAGGCAGCAGUGGGGAAUAUUGGACAAUGGGCGAAAGCCUGAUCCAGCCAUGCCGCGUGUGUGAAGAAGGCCUUCGGGUUGUAAAGCACUUUCAGCGAGGAAGAACGCCUAGUGGUUAAUACCCAUUAGGAAAGACAUCACUCGCAGAAGAAGCACCGGCUAACUCCGUGCCAGCAGCCGCGGUAAUACGGAGGGUGCAAGCGUUAAUCGGAAUUACUGGGCGUAAAGCGCGCGUAGGUGGCUUGAUAAGCCGGUUGUGAAAGCCCCGGGCUCAACCUGGGAACGGCAUCCGGAACUGU